GUCCAGGGAUGGGAAUCGAACCCACUGCGUUCCGCUUACCGGGCAGAUGCCAUGUCCACUAGGCUACCCUGGA
Molecule: transfer RNA, 73 nt
Filed under: Cordylochernes scorpioides
Lineage: Eukaryota; Metazoa; Arthropoda; Arachnida; Pseudoscorpiones; Chernetidae
Description: tRNA-Thr
Source: RNAcentral